UCUCUACGGGAGGCAGCAGUGGGGAAUAUUGGGCAAUGGGCGCAAGCCUGACCCAGCAACGCCGCGUGAAGGAAGAAGGCUUUCGGGUUGUAAACUUCUUUUAUGAGGGACGAAACAAAUGACGGUACCUCAUGAAUAAGCCACGGCUAACUACGUGCCAGCAGCCGCGGUAAUACGUAGGUGGCAAGCGUUAUCCGGAUUUACUGGGUGUAAAGGGAGCGUAGACGGCCAGACAAGUCAGAAGUGAAAGCCCAGGGCUCAACCCUGGGACUGCUUUUGAAACUGCCGGGCUGGAGUGCAGGAGG
Molecule: ribosomal RNA, 305 nt
Filed under: uncultured bacterium
Lineage: Bacteria
Description: bacterial SSU rRNA
Rfam family: Bacterial small subunit ribosomal RNA
Source: RNAcentral